Etheostoma spectabile (orangethroat darter) is the source of this 141-nucleotide long non-coding RNA. RefSeq lists it as uncharacterized. NCBI's taxonomy places the organism in Eukaryota, Metazoa, Chordata, Actinopteri, Perciformes, Percidae. The transcript is spliced from 3 exons. The record is from RefSeq and is a predicted model, not a curated record.
AAUGAAUGUCCGCGACAUUCAAGCCAUUGCCGAAAAAGUUGCUUCGAAGCUAAUUAAGACCAUCAGCUCCACACAACUCUCUCCGUAUCUCUCAGUAUGGCUACCUUCAGAAGAUUGUUGCGACCGCCGACUUUCACCGCA